This is a long non-coding RNA of Athene cunicularia (burrowing owl), 217 nucleotides long. RefSeq lists it as uncharacterized. The transcript has 3 exons. Lineage: Eukaryota; Metazoa; Chordata; Aves; Strigiformes; Strigidae. The record is from RefSeq and is a predicted model, not a curated record.
AAAGCUUCCCAUGCUGCCGCAUCGGACCUGACGUCAGCAUGCUACUUCUCCAAUUGGCCUUGAAAUCACAUUGCACCUGCUGGCGCUAGUGAUCUGCGGGACAUAAGGGAUGAGCAAAAAAGGAGGACUGAACCCCCUUUCCUUGAGAAAAAGAUGCUAAACCCAAGAACUGGAAAUGCAGAGAUUGUAAUUUCUUCAAAUACACAAUAAACUUCAG